This 401-nucleotide ribosomal RNA is filed under the name Citrobacter freundii. Its description in RNAcentral is "bacterial LSU rRNA". It matches the Rfam family "Bacterial large subunit ribosomal RNA", at positions 17 to 456 of the family's 2925-position model. The record is from RNAcentral. Lineage: Bacteria; Pseudomonadati; Pseudomonadota; Gammaproteobacteria; Enterobacterales; Enterobacteriaceae.
CGUACACGGUGGAUGCCCUGGCAUUCAGAGGCGAUGAAGGACGUGCUAAUCUGCGAUAAGCGUCGGUAAGGUGAUAUGAACCGUUAUAACCGGCGAUUUCCGAAUGGGGAAACCCAGUGUGAUUCGUCACACUAUCAUUACGUGAAUACAUAGCGUAAUGAAGCGAACCGGGGGAACUGAAACAUCUAAGUACCCCGAGGAAAAGAAAUCAACCGAGAUUCCCCCAGUAGCGGCGAGCGAACGGGGAGCAGCCCAGAGUCUGAAUCAGCUUGUGUGUUAGUGGAACGGUCUGGAAAGUCCGACGAUACAGGGUGAUAGUCCCGUACACCAAAAUGCACAGGUUGUGAACUCGGAGAGUAGGGUGGGACACGUGGUAUCCUGUCUGAAUAUGGGGGGACCAU